AUUGAACGCUGGCGGCAUGCCUUACACAUGCAAGUCGAACGGUAACAGGCCUUCGGAUGCUGACGAGCGGCGAACGGGCGGGUAAUACAUCGGAACGUGCCCGAUCGUGGGGGAUAACGAAGCGAAAGCUAUGCUAAUAUCGCAUCCGAUCUACGGACGAGAGCAGGGGACCGCAAGGCCAAGCGCGAACGGAGCGGCCGGGGGCAGAUUAGGUGGUUGGUGGGAUAAACGCUUACCAAGCCGACGAUCUGUAGCUGGACUGAGAGGACGAGCGGCCACACUGGGAGUGAGACACCGCCCAGACUCCUGCGGGAGGCAGCAGUGGGGAAUUUUGGACAAUGGGCGAAAGCCUGAUCCAGCCAUGCCGCGUGCAGGAUGACGGCCUUCGGGUUGUAAACUGCUUUUGUACGGAACGAACAGACUCUGGUUAAUACCUGGGGUCCAUGACGGUACCGUAAGAAUAAGCACCGGCUAACUACGUG
RNAcentral lists this ribosomal RNA (482 nucleotides) under uncultured bacterium. RNAcentral's name for it is "partial 16S ribosomal RNA". It matches the Rfam family "Bacterial small subunit ribosomal RNA", at positions 29 to 507 of the family's 1533-position model. The record is from RNAcentral.